AGUGAACGCUGGCGGUAGGCCUAACACAUGCAAGUCGAACGGCAGCACAGUAAGAGCUUGCUCUUACGGGUGGCGAGUGGCGGACGGGUGAGGAAUACAUCGGAAUCUACUUUUUCGUGGGGGAUAACGUAGGGAAACUUACGCUAAUACCGCAUACGACCUACGGGUGAAAGCAGGGGAUCUUCGGACCUUGCGCGAUUGAAUGAGCCGAUGUCGGAUUAGCUAGUUGGCGGGGUAAAGGCCCACCAAGGCGACGAUCCGUAGCUGGUCUGAGAGGAUGAUCAGCCACACUGGAACUGAGACACGGUCCAGACUCCUACGGGAGGCAGCAGUGGGGAAUAUUGGACAAUGGGCGCAAGCCUGAUCCAGCCAUACCGCGUGGGUGAAGAAGGCCUUCGGGUUGUAAAGUCCUUUUGUUGGGAAAGAAAAGCAGCAGGUUAAUACCCCGCUGUUCUGACGGUACCCAAAGAAUAAGCACCGGCUAACUUCG
RNAcentral lists this ribosomal RNA (490 nucleotides) under uncultured bacterium. RNAcentral's name for it is "partial 16S ribosomal RNA". It matches the Rfam family "Bacterial small subunit ribosomal RNA", at positions 29 to 505 of the family's 1533-position model. The record is from RNAcentral.